AUGCGAAGGUCCCAGCAGAGGGGCGAGUUACUCUUCAUAUUGAGGCUUCCCUAACGAUUCAUUUUAUACGCUUCGCAGAUUUAUUUGCCGAAUCGUAAGAUGCUUAAAUGUUUUGAUUUUUUGUGCAUCUGGAACUUCCGCUAUAUAUGU
Non-coding RNA from Lupinus albus (white lupine), 150 nucleotides. The record is from the annotation of a GenBank genome assembly. Lineage: Eukaryota; Viridiplantae; Streptophyta; Magnoliopsida; Fabales; Fabaceae.